This 68-nucleotide transfer RNA is filed under the name Halcyon smyrnensis. RNAcentral's name for it is "tRNA-Cys". The record is from RNAcentral. Lineage: Eukaryota; Metazoa; Chordata; Aves; Coraciiformes; Alcedinidae.
GACCCUGUAGUGAAGUUCAUGUUGAGUUGCAAGCUCAUUGAUGUGUGCUGAUGGGUACACCAGGGUCU